UUUUUUUGUUUCAAUCACACCUGAUUGCACUAGUUUUUAAAUGUAGGUAGUUUACAAUAUCAUCAACGAGUCGCUAAUGGAAUAGUUAUGAUUUAUUUUAUUAUUUUGUUAUGCUUUGACAUGACCUACUGUUCGUCCGAGUUUGGCGAAGGAACAGACGUUAAAAAAGACGAAAGCGAAUUGUUUGUCAGCUUCGACCCUACGAACGAGGCGAAGAAGAAAAUCUUGUCGGACUGGCACCGGCUGGCUGUGAGAGAAGGCGUCGUCCCUGCAAUUAGAGCUCUGCGGGAUGAAAACAUCAGGGCGGUUAUGGUCCCGGAGGACGACUGGCGCUGUCUCAUAGCGCAGUUGAAUAAAAUGAACCGCAGGUACUCCCUGGUCGGCUGGCUUCUACUGAUUUUCCUCUCCAUCGUCUUAGGCGCUCUCUUUUGCGUCCUGUUCAGCAUGUACAAACGCGGUUACUUUUUCAGCCAAUCUGACGACACGUGCGUCAAUAACUACAAUUAUUGGAAUAACAAUAGGGAAUGCUACGGAUGCCUAGACUCAGAAUCAGAAGGGUUGCUCAGGAUUAAAAAAACAAAUAAGCUGUAUUUAUCAAAAUCACUGGAGGGAAUGAACUCUCCGUAAAAACGAAGUGCAAGUAUACAACAGGAAUAAAAAUGCCCCUGAAGAAAGAAAGAAUACGAAAGAACGAGUUGGACUUCUCCGCUCUAUGUCUGAAAAUAUAAAAUAGUGAACAGGAGUUGGAUGAUACCCUGGAGGUUCCAGAACUGUACAGAAUAAAUAUGGAAUGAAUAUAUCUAAAUCUUCAGUUUACGCGUCAAUAAAAAGUGUCAAUAUC
This is an RNA transcript of Cimex lectularius (bed bug), 841 nucleotides long. RefSeq lists it as uncharacterized. The record is from RefSeq and is a predicted model, not a curated record. Lineage: Eukaryota; Metazoa; Arthropoda; Insecta; Hemiptera; Cimicidae. The transcript has 5 exons.